UGCCACAUGGCAGUGGAAUUGUGUUGUAGAGAAUAACAGCGCCACCAGUCCUUACUUCCAGCAUUUUCUAAUAUUCAGUUGAUAUCUGCCCUUGGAGCCAAAGUUCAAAAAUAAUUUUCUCCAUUUUGGACAUUUGGAUUUUGCCUUCAUUUGUGAUCUUGACAGAUACCUCUAUAGUGAGAUGUGUUGGUUGGAACAUUUUUUUGGCAGUUUCAGCUCACGCCUUGACUCCGGGAAAUGAUCAUAUGAAAUAGAAAUAAAAACCUUAUUUGCAGCAGGCACUCUUGAUGAAGCACGCCAAGCAGGCUAUGAGUUUGUCCCAGUCAUAAAAAUCUAAUUUAACAAAGAAUGCUAAUCCCCCAGCCUUGUUCUUUCUUAAUAUUUUCAAUCAGUCAUUUUGUUUCUGUUCUCUCCCAAAAUGAAAACACUUCAUUUGAAACAAAUUCAGCUCUAGGACUAGUUACUAAAGUUGCAAAACAUGAAAAUGUUGCAAACAAUUCGAUUAUUUUGCUACUUUGAACGCUUUCAAUUUUGUAAAUAAUGUACAUGAACUUGAACCUUAGAACAAAUUUAACGAUAUUAUGGUGCAUAAAAGGGUGUUUAAAGGGACUUGUUUUGAACAAAUGAAUGGAAAAUAUUUUAGCUGUGUUCACUUUAGCGUUUCAAAAUACAACAAAAUUGCUUACUUGUAAGAGACUGAUUCUCCUUAUCUCAGAGUAUAACUGGACCCCCUUUAAAAACUUAGACUCCAAUGAAGUACUUGUCUCAAAUUGUUUGCAAACAUUUCUUCGCAAUAUGUCUUUACGGGAUUAGCAAAUUAAUUUCUCUUACGCAUAUCAGUAGGCCAGUCUAAAUUCGGAUUUGUUUCUGUGGAUUCAAACUGCAGUGAAAUUGUCGCUACUCACAAUGUAAACAAUUCUUAACUAUUUUCCUCCUGCGAACAAACUUAACGGAAUUGUCCCUGGAACUGAAACUUAUCGUAUACCAAAAGGCAUUGCAAAUGCAUCAAAUUAUGAAACUGUAAGAUUGAACAUGAAAACAAAGUUGUAAUUUCUAUUGUAAUACAUAACAACUUGUUGUGGAGAGAAAUAUAAUUGCAUAUAUGAAUAUAGAAAUGGAUUGUGUUGUUGCCUUGGUAUGCGACUCGUUGGAAUAAAUUCUUCAUUAUGAAUGCGAGAUAGAACUCCACAUGCAUGGCAUUGUUUUUAUAUUGUGCUGAAGUGGAUUUAACGUAUCGUUCUUAUUGCACCUAUAGAUACCAAAAGUUAUGCCGUAUGAAACACGCAUUUGAAACGGAUUUACUGUUUUGGGGGGGAGGGGUGGAGUGAAUUUAACAUCUUUUGCAAUCUCUGGCCUUUUUAUGGUGUCAUCAGUAUUGCUUAUUGUCCGACCAUUUGACAGUCUUGUCAGAGCCAUUAAAAAGGGUUUUAAGGUAUACAUGUACUGGAUUUAAGCGUAUGCACAAUGCCAAGCGUUGGUCUUUAAGAUAUGUAGGUUAAUGGCAAGUAGUAUUCAGUGCGCUGAGAGCAGGUGUCUGCAAAACAGGUUGCAGGUGAAUUAGAUAUGUAUCAAUCACAGAGUACAGUUAAUGUACCGUGAUGCAUUAUUGCGUCCGGGAUAGAUGCGAUUUUUGCUGGGGGUUGUUGUCGGUAUUUAAGGCACUUAUUUGUGAGAAAUUUGCAUUUAAAGAGAGUCCGAAUUAAACAUGUAUUUCACUUUACCAGACUGAGGUUUGUCAAGUCGAUUAUACCUAUAAUUGGGACAAAAACAAACAUGAUGAAGUAUCCCUUGCCCAGAGGAAAAUCGCCAUUGUUUAGUGGCUCAAUAUUUCGAGUCUGUAUUUAAUAUUGACAUGACUGUGCUCGUAUUCUAAAGGAUUUUCUAGGUUCAUGUCCCGACGGCUGCCUUGGCCAACGCCAAGGGCUCCCUCCGCACGAGCUGGGGUGUUUUAAUAAAUUCAGUGCUGCGCAAGCAAGUGGACUGCAACACUGCCAGCGGCUUGCAUGCGCGCGUCCACCUGCACUGAGCGAGACCCUGUAACAACACGAAAAACCUCCCUAGUCGUGUCUGCACCGCGCCUUGCAAAAUGGCCGGCAGGGCAAUCCGGCAACUCGCGUUUGCGCCAACGACCCGCAUUAAGAGCAGGCCCAGUUUUUCUUCCCUCUACUCGGGCAAGUUGCAUCAGCGAAAUUCUAUGAUAUACAUAUUGACAGAGGCCUGCUUGAGAAUGAUAUUAACCGAUAAGCUUUCUGCCUGACACACGUUUCCGCCAUGGGCUUUUUCAUUUUAUUACUGAGGUACUUCCUGCUUCGUAACAUCUAACUGGUAUAGUCAUUACCUUGCAACACGAGCUGCAAGCAUUAAAUUUGAAUCUUUCAGUAGCAAACGGGCUACAAAUUCAGGUGGUGCAUUUGUGUCAGGAACUUCCUGUUGCUCUCUGUUUCCUUUGAGCUCUCUGAUCCAGCAACAUAAUUUAACAGCGCACUGUCCUCUUUUAAUCAAGGAUUGUUAUAUUUUUGUGUGUUUGCUUUUCUUUUGCCACUGAUGUAUAUGGAGCGCUUCAUACGCCACUCUCUGAAAAUCAUAUAUUUAACAGGUUUUCACAGACUGGUGUCUGAACACCUAAAAUAUCUUACACACAUCCUGUCAAGAUUUCUAAAGCUGACCCAGCUUGUAAUUUAUUUCCCUGAUAAUCGCAAUGCAUGAUAGAGCCCGGAAAAGGACUAAAGAUGAUGGUGAUAAUUUCGUCAGUUUCACCGCAUAGAGGAAUAAGUGACAGCUUCUGUCGAGAAUGGUCUUUGUCAAACCAUGCGGGUAAUUAAAAACAGAAUUUUUACAAGCACAGUGAUCGAGGCACACAACGAAUUUGGAGCUGAGGCAGAUGUGACUAGUGAAGCUCAUCCUUUCGCUCAUUUUUUUUCAGUAAAGAGUCUGAGUUUUUCUUGUAAUGAUAUACAUUGUACAAUAUUUCUCUUUAAAGGAUUAUUUCUUUCAUCGCUGUCUCUGUGUCCUGGUUCCAUUGUGCGGUACGCAUACUUUUUAAAUAGCCAUACAAUGAUCUUUUUUCCUUGUCGCGGUGCUAAUGUGUGUUCCUGUAUCAUUCGAACACCUACGUUGACGUCGUAGUCCUUCAUAAAUUUCUCGGUAUUUACAUUUUUUCCGAAUGUAAUUUCCGUCUCAUUCAUGCUUUAAUCUUGUAUGCACCACAACAAGCAGUUUGUACAACUAGAAAUUAAUGGUUUUCGAGAAAUCUGAAAUGAUAGUAUUUCGUAACUUGAUUAGUAGGCGUCUUAGGCUUGUCACGAACGGGUAAUUGCCAAGACUCACCAAUCCAGCGGUGGUUGUUUUUAUUUGCUUUUUUUCCGUGAUGGUUUAUAAUCGGAUUAAAGUGCGGGUGGAGACUUACGUCAUUUCACGGCCGCCAGGGUCCUUCUUUCAAAUGAAUGGGAAAAAAACAUCCGCCGUAAUUCAUGAAGCUUGCUGUUUUGAAAAAUUUCAGGCAAGCGUACGGGGGAUAUUAACCUCUCACAUAAAUUAGCUGAAGUCCAGUAUCAGGUAUGCAUUAAUUGCAGCGUUGUUUUCUGUGAUUUGUCUUAAAGGGUGGUCAUAGCAGAGAUCCUUGGGCGGCUCUCGGUGUUUCCGACGUGGUAAAAAAUAGUGCAUGUGCAUCGCGGAAGCAAAACAGAUCACAGCCACCGUACGCUGUGGUGAACAAAAUGAAAAAACGCUAUUGAGUGGCCCCUUGAAGCUGAAUAGAGUUCUGUGUAGGACACUUGCACCGAGUGCAUUAAGAAUGUCAUGGGUACAUGAUAAGUGAUCAUUAUGGCAAGUACGCGCCAUCGAGGCUGUCAGCUGCCCCUCCUACAAAAAAAUAACAUGAAAUAAAGAUGAAAUGCAAGGGUUAUUAUGUGUACAUCGUAACAAUGUAGCUCAUUAUAAUAAUCACCUGUCUGGAACACUUAGACAUAAAAAAUCUGAUGAGCUUAACACAUCCCCAGGACAAAGUCCUUGAUCCGUCCUUGCCGCUGUACCUCUUACGAUUUAAAUUAAGACACAUCAUUGGCUUUUUUAUUUGUUUUGUACUGAGCGUAAUUUGUGCCGAAUGACUGCAAUAAAAAGAGAAAUUUCCCCGCAAGUAUACGGUGUGGGAAAUUUUAAUGUGCGCAAAUGCAGCGAAGGCAAACAAACAUCUGUUAUGAUUGUGAGGGGAAAUUUUAUGAAGUAAACGGACAGAAUUCUCUGGCUUUCUAUUACGGGCCUAUCACUUCCCUGGGAAUAUUGCCAGGUGGACCAAUUGAUUUGGCCGAUCCUACCACCAAAGAAUCUCCCGAAUGGUGUAAAUUAUACGAACAAACAGUAAACAUUGAAAUGUCGGCGACAAAUGAAAUCCCAAGUACAUCAAAAUCAUACAUACAUAAAGCGAAAUUUAUUACAAUUAAUGGGAACUGGUGUAUUAAGUGUGAUAAUUUUACGUAGUCUAAAUUAUGCUCAUUGUGCGCUUCUUAUGACAACUGGGAAAGUGGCAUUCUAACUGCUGUGAGUUUUCCCAGCUGUGAACGAAAUUUGCCCAAGGCAUACAGAGGUUUGUGCGAACAAUGAUUGAUUUCUUGGUCGAUUUUGCAAAAGCUCAAAAUUUUAAACAUGAGCAUUGUGGAAAACUCAUUUCUCUUAAAUUGAAUCUCCCGUCUGGAAGGUUACACAAGCAAGUCAAUGUUGGUGUAUGCUGAUUUUUUUCUAGAGUGCAAUAAAUUAGUGCUUCUUUUCUGAAAGUUUAGUUUAAUACAGCCAUGUUAGUUCACAGUGGUAAAUUUGAAUGUCAGUACUAAUGUGUAUUGCAUAUCUGUUGAUAAAUUAAGGUAGCUUAUGAGGUCAUAAUUGAUAAAAGAACACGAACUGCAAGACGCCAAUGUGAAAAAUGUGAGCUCUAAUUAGAUUAGAGACAACAGUAAGUUGGAAAGAGUGCUUAUUUCCUUCAAUGUUGUAAAUGAAAAUGGAGAACACAUUUUGCCUCUCAACAUCAGUAUUGGGGGAAAUGCACUACGCCACGAGUAAGGACCAGGAUGGCUAAUGUUUGAAGGGAAAAUAAAAUCAUGUCUGACGUCAUCCCAGCGUGUUUAUCAAGACCCGGAUAAGAUAAUUGAUGGCCAGGGCAGAUGUGCACGCCAAUACAAAUACACCGAGGACGUUGUGUUUGGACAGUUCCUCUCACACUUUGGCCCCUUUUAUUCAAAAUGGGAUUUUGUCAGUGGAAAUAAAAAUAGGUUAAACUUUUGUGUGGCUGUCCCCAGAAAAUUGUAUCAAUCUGUCAUUGUCAUGCCGGCGCUCUUCUGAGAAAGCUAUGAUUUUUAUAGAUCUACUUUUUUUUUCAAUGUAAUCAGAAACAAUUGCAUCACUGACCCGGCCUGGGAUUCCGCGGGAUAGAUGUUGGUUCCCCAUGCGGUUUCUAGUUCGACAUCCACCCUAUUUUUUCAAUGAAAGAACAACCUUUCAAUUUUGUGAAAGAAUAGAUUGGAAAGCCGAGCUUGAUUUGAUGGGUGGGCCGAGGGGGGGUACAGGAUUAUAUACUGACCGGCGGUCGCGGUAGAAGUGGAGGUAUAGUUUCAGAGCCUGGCAGAGAUUACGCAGGUAUGUAAGCCUUAUUAUUAAAUAAAUUUGCUGAAAAUUACUGGUUUCCUUGCUGCAGGCUAUGGUGAUCCUAAAAAGUAUCGUUCGAUGUAUAUGUAUAAAUGAACUAAUAUCAGUCAGUUAUUAUGGAUCAUUUAUGUAAAUUAACACGUUGAGUACAACGUGCAAGUGUCGACGUGCACAAUACUCUCAAGCAAACCCAACUGUGCCAAACCCUAUUCAUAUUUAUUCAUAUGCAAAUUCAAAUAUUGAUGGAAAUGGGUUUAGCCCAUCAUUGGAUCAAAUAAAUGGAGACUGUGUUUGUGUUCGGA
RNAcentral lists this long non-coding RNA (5936 nucleotides) under Acanthaster planci (crown-of-thorns starfish). RNAcentral's name for it is "uncharacterized LOC110973235". Lineage: Eukaryota; Metazoa; Echinodermata; Asteroidea; Valvatida; Acanthasteridae. The record is from RNAcentral.